Molecule: long non-coding RNA, 649 nt
Filed under: Rattus norvegicus (Norway rat)
Lineage: Eukaryota; Metazoa; Chordata; Mammalia; Rodentia; Muridae
Description: long non-coding RNA NONRATT008193
Source: RNAcentral
AUCAAAAACAUAAAUGACAAUGCAAAAACCUAAAUAUAAAAUCUAGGCAGCAGUGGACCCAAAAUGUCAGAGGGGAUCAGGAGAAGGGAGGGGAUGAACAAGGUAACUGGAGAGGCAGGGGAGACGGCUAGGCUGAGUGGGAAUGCUGUGGCCCUCCAGCUGGUGGUGAGGUCAUUUUAUCAUGAAACAUUGUAUCUGAGGUGGGUGUUAGCAAAUAGCCCUUUUCAUGACUCAAAUAUUCCAGUUUCAAAACCUACACCGCACCCAGAUCAUAGGUGUCACACAGGCCUGUGUGUGGCAUGCCUAGCAUAUAGUAGGCGCCCAAAACAUGGUUGUGAGAAGCAGUUAUGGGAGCAUUUAGUUUAGUUUAGUUUUGUUGAGACAGAGUCUCUCUGUGUAGCUCUGCCUGUCCUGGAACUUUCUACAUAGACCAGGCUGUCCUCAAACUCACAGAGAUCGGCCUGGCUCUGUCCCUCAAAUGCUGGGAUUAAAGACAUACACCCCUACACUCCUGUUUUGGGGGGCACUGGUUUUAAGUCUAUUCGUGAGGAAUAAUACAUUGUGUUUAGUAUGUAAGGUGCUAGCUAUUUGGGUUUGAUUACAGAAAUUAACAUUUUCUAAUGAAAAAUAAAUAAAUGUUUGUGGCUUC